RNAcentral lists this ribosomal RNA (734 nucleotides) under Cedecea sp. RNAcentral describes it as "bacterial SSU rRNA". It matches the Rfam family "Bacterial small subunit ribosomal RNA", at positions 28 to 751 of the family's 1533-position model. Lineage: Bacteria; Pseudomonadati; Pseudomonadota; Gammaproteobacteria; Enterobacterales; Enterobacteriaceae. The record is from RNAcentral.
AUUGAACGCUGGCGGCAGGCCUAACACAUGCAAGUCGAGCGGUAACAGGGAGUAGCUUGCUACUCCGCUGACGAGCGGCGGACGGGUGAGUAAUGUCUGGGGAUCUGCCUGAUGGAGGGGGAUAACUACUGGAAACGGUAGCUAAUACCGCAUAACGUCGCAAGACCAAAGAGGGGGACCUUCGGGCCUCUUGCCAUCGGAUGAACCCAGAUGGGAUUAGCUAGUAGGUGGGGUAAUGGCUCACCUAGGCGACGAUCCCUAGCUGGUCUGAGAGGAUGACCAGCCACACUGGAACUGAGACACGGUCCAGACUCCUACGGGAGGCAGCAGUGGGGAAUAUUGCACAAUGGGCGCAAGCCUGAUGCAGCCAUGCCGCGUGUGUGAAGAAGGCCUUCGGGUUGUAAAGCACUUUCAGCGAGGAGGAAGGCAUUAAGGUUAAUAACCUUGGUGAUUGACGUUACUCGCAGAAGAAGCACCGGCUAACUCCGUGCCAGCAGCCGCGGUAAUACGGAGGGUGCAAGCGUUAAUCGGAAUUACUGGGCGUAAAGCGCACGCAGGCGGUUUGUUAAGUCGGAUGUGAAAUCCCCGGGCUCAACCUGGGAACUGCAUUCGAAACUGGCAAGCUUGAGUCUUGUAGAGGGGGGUAGAAUUCCAGGUGUAGCGGUGAAAUGCGUAGAGAUCUGGAGGAAUACCGGUGGCGAAGGCGGCCCCCUGGACAAAGACUGACGCUCAGG